This 283-nucleotide long non-coding RNA is filed under the name Solanum lycopersicum (tomato). Its description in RNAcentral is "partial TCONS_00081458". The record is from RNAcentral. Lineage: Eukaryota; Viridiplantae; Streptophyta; Magnoliopsida; Solanales; Solanaceae.
CUCAAAAAUAAGAUUAAUCUUUGUUCUUGACUUAUUUCCUAGAAGCAACGAAGAUAACACUAAUAAAUUCAAACAAACACAAAUUUCACUGAAAUACACACAACUUACAUACAUAUUACAUAAACCCAACUCCGGCGCUGGUGCUUUUGCUUCUUCAGCAACCGGUGCGGCGGCCGGAGCCUUAUCGCCACCGUACUGGUGGAGAUAAGUUUGGGCCUUCUCAACGUACUGUCCAAUUCCUUGAGUUUCGUCUAAUUUUCCGUAUUUCUGUGCAGCGUCGAGC